This 492-nucleotide ribosomal RNA is filed under the name uncultured Sphingobacteriales bacterium. Its description in RNAcentral is "bacterial SSU rRNA". It matches the Rfam family "Bacterial small subunit ribosomal RNA", at positions 888 to 1382 of the family's 1533-position model. The record is from RNAcentral. Lineage: Bacteria; Pseudomonadati; Bacteroidota; Sphingobacteriia; Sphingobacteriales.
CCCGCUCAGAAACUUAAAGGAAUUGACGGGGGCCCGCACAAGCGGUGGAGCAUGUGGUUUAAUUCGAUGAUACGCGAGGAACCUUACCUGGGCUCAAAUGUAUGUUGACGUAUUCUGAAAGGGAUACUUCUUCGGACAAUAUACAAGGUGCUGCAUGGUUGUCGUCAGCUCGUGCCGUGAGGUGUCGGGUUAAGUCCCAUAACGAGCGCAACCCCUAUCAUUAGUUGCCAUCAGGUCAAGCUGGGGACUCUAAUGAAACUGCCUACGCAAGUAGUGAGGAAGGUGGGGAUGACGUCAAAUCAGCACGGCCCUUACGUCCAGGGCUACACACGUGCUACAAUGGCCGGUACAAAGGGCAGCUACCUGGUGACAGGAUGCUAAUCUCAAAAGCCGGUCUCAGUUCGGAUCGGAGUCUGCAACCCGACUCCGUGAAGCUGGAAUCGCCAGUAAUCGCGCAUCAGCCAUGGCGCGGUGAAUACGUUCCCGGGCCUU